UCUCUGGUGGUUACUGCUCUUGCGAGUAUCUCAGAUAUUUCCAAAAUGGUUGACUUGUAUGAGUGCCUGAUAUUUGUCACAAUUGAUUAUUUUUCUGUCAGUCCUAAGGUGUCCUGUCCCAAGUGAAACUGAUGGAAGCUGGUCCAGGUUGUUGAAAUCUCACAGACCCCCUCCGUCACCUAUGCUCUCCCAGGAUUCUCCGUCACAACCAGUGGUUCCUGCUGGUACUGGAUCUGCCAGCCCCCGGGGAAGGAGCAGCAGUGGGUCGGAAAACUAAGUGAUUCUGGAGUCACAAAAUGCAACCCAUCCUGCCUGAGCUGCAGCUCUGUCUCCAGAGGCACAUCCAAGAACCAGUUGUCCUACAGCUGAGCCCCGUUACUGCCAAAGACAUGGCUGUGUGUCACCGUGCAAGAUACACACAGGGAGGGGAAGAUGGUGUGAGCCCGAGGCAAACCUCCUCUGCAGGGUGGCCAGGGGGACUGGCUGCCGUGGGCGUUCAGGACCCACCGAGCACAGGGCUCAACCCAGGGCAGGUGCAAAGAGAGCCUGGGGAGGGAGUCCCCAUCAGAGCCUCAGAUUCCUUAUACUCAUUCACCCGCUGACCUUGAAACGCUGCAUGAGAAGGAAGUAAAAACUGAGGCAGGCUGGUAAACUGCUGGAGAAUUGAAGGCAUGUCCCCCUCCACUGCCCUCAAAACCCUUCAGCAAAGACUGGGCGACUCAUUGGUUCCAGGCAUUUAAUCUCUGUGCAUACAUUAGCUGAACACUGAAGUAACUCAGCAGAGACUCAAUGUCUACACACAGCAAAGAAGAAGGGCCUUACAAAAUUAGUUCAGGAAUGUCACCAAACAAAUAGCAACAACAACAUCAACAAAAGCAUCAACAACAAACCCUGAUUGGGGGAGGAUCCGAUUUCCAGAGUUGCCACAUUAUGAUAUUUAAAAUGCCCAGUUUUCAAAUUAAAAUUAUUGGACACAUUCAAAGACUCAUGAAUAUAUGACCCAUACACUGAGGGGGAAAAAGCAUUGAAUAGGAGCUAUCUGUGAGGAAGCCAGACACUAGACAUACUAGAUGAAGAUUCAAAAUCAUUCAUUUAAAAUAUGUUCAAAAACCCCAAAAGAACUCAUGUCUAACAAAUUAAAGGAGAACAUGAGAAUAAUGUUUUACUAAAUAGAGACUAUAAAGAAAGAGAGAAAUUUUUAAAACAAACCAAAUAGAAAUUCUGAAGUUGAAAACCACAAUAACUGAAAUGAAAACUUAACUAGCUUAAGAGCAUAUUUGACCCGGCAGAAGAAAGAUUCAGUGAACAUGAAAGUAGGUACUUGGGAUUAUCCAGUCUGAAGAGCAGAAAGAAGAAGGACAAAGACGAAUGCGUCGAUCCUCAGAGACUUGUGUGACACCAUCAGGGAUACAACACAAGCAUAAGGGAAGUCCCAGAGGGGAGGAGAGAGAGCAAGAUCAGAGUGAAUAUUUGGACAUAGAAUGGCUGAAAACUUCCCAACCAUGAUGAAAAAUCCACAUUAAUUCACAUGUCAAGAAGCUCAACAAAUUCGAAGAAAUAUCCCAAAGAGAUACAUACCUAGACACAUCGUAGUCAAACUGUCAAAAAAAGACAAAGGAACUUAGUCAUCCUGAUGAAGAGUGGUAUCUCUUUGUGAUUUUUGUUUGUGUUACCAUGAUAACUUGUGAUGUUCAACAUCUCAUCAUGUGCUUAUUGUCACUUGUACAUUUUCCCUGGAUAAAUGUCUGUUGAAACCCUUUG
Molecule: long non-coding RNA, 1761 nt
Organism: Diceros bicornis minor
Lineage: Eukaryota; Metazoa; Chordata; Mammalia; Perissodactyla; Rhinocerotidae
Exons: 2
Source: RefSeq, a predicted model, not a curated record